This 434-nucleotide ribosomal RNA is filed under the name uncultured bacterium. RNAcentral's name for it is "bacterial SSU rRNA". It matches the Rfam family "Bacterial small subunit ribosomal RNA", at positions 354 to 796 of the family's 1533-position model. The record is from RNAcentral.
GUGGGGAAUAUUGCACAAUGGGCGAAAGCCUGAUGCAGCAACGCCGCGUGGGGGAUGACGGCCUUCGGGUUGUAAACCUCUUUUAGUAGGGAAGAAGGACUUCGGUUUGACGGUACCUGCAGAAAAAGCACCGGCUAACUACGUGCCAGCAGCCGCGGUAAUACGUAGGGUGCAAGCGUUGUCCGGAAUUAUUGGGCGUAAAGAGCUCGUAGGCGGUUUGUCGCGUCUGCUGUGAAAACCCGAGGCUCAACCUCGGGCCUGCAGUGGGUACGGGCAGACUAGAGUGCGGUAGGGGAGAAUGGAAUUCCUGGUGUAGCGGUGGAAUGCGCAGAUAUCAGGAGGAACACCGAUGGCGAAGGCAGUUCUCUGGGCCGUUACUGACGCUGAGGAGCGAAAGCAUGGGGAGCGAACAGGAUUAGAUACCCUAGUAGUCC